Molecule: long non-coding RNA, 359 nt
Filed under: Ricinus communis (castor bean)
Lineage: Eukaryota; Viridiplantae; Streptophyta; Magnoliopsida; Malpighiales; Euphorbiaceae
Description: long non-coding RNA (RCOM_LNC003147)
Source: RNAcentral
UCCCCUCCCUCUGCAAAAAAAAAAAAAAAAAAAAAAACUUCAUUCUAGGAUUCUUAUACAUACUCUCUUGGAUCUGUCACUCUCCUGCAACUUUGUCCCAUACAUUAAUUUCUCAUGAUUUUCUUUUGUUGAUCACUACUAGAUAUCUUAGUAAAAGGUACGUAUGUCUAUGUAUAUGUGUCUGUGUGUGGUUUUAGUCUAUUGUUUAAACUAUUACUUUCCACUAAUGGACACACACUUAAAAUGCAGUUAGUAUAAUUCAUGAUAUAACUUAACGCUAACUUUCCCUUCAAUCUUGUGUGUUCACCAUUCCAAAUUUCUUUCUAAAAAAAAUUUAUAUUUGGGGUUCUGGAAAUAUA